This 1441-nucleotide ribosomal RNA is filed under the name uncultured organism. RNAcentral describes it as "partial small subunit ribosomal RNA". It matches the Rfam family "Bacterial small subunit ribosomal RNA". The record is from RNAcentral.
AACGCUGGCGGCGUGCUUAACACAUGCAAGUCGAACGGAAAGGCCCUGCUUUUGUGGGGUGCUCGAGUGGCGAACGGGUGAGUAACACGUGAGUAACCUGCCCUUGACUUUGGGAUAACUUCAGGAAACUGGGGCUAAUACCGGAUAGGAGCUCCUGCUGCAUGGUGGGGGUUGGAAAGUUUCGGCGGUUGGGGAUGGACUCGCGGCUUAUCAGCUUGUUGGUGGGGUAGUGGCUUACCAAGGCUUUGACGGGUAGCCGGCCUGAGAGGGUGACCGGCCACAUUGGGACUGAGAUACGGCCCAGACUCCUACGGGAGGCAGCAGUGGGGAAUAUUGCACAAUGGGCGGAAGCCUGAUGCAGCAACGCCGCGUGCGGGAUGACGGCCUUCGGGUUGUAAACCGCUUUCGCCUGUGACGAAGCGUGAGUGACGGUAAUGGGUAAAGAAGCACCGGCUAACUACGUGCCAGCAGCCGCGGUGAUACGUAGGGUGCGAGCGUUGUCCGGAUUUAUUGGGCGUAAAGGGCUCGUAGGUGGUUGAUCGCGUCGGAAGUGUAAUCUUGGGGCUUAACCCUGAGCGUGCUUUCGAUACGGGUUGACUUGAGGAAGGUAGGGGAGAAUGGAAUUCCUGGUGGAGCGGUGGAAUGCGCAGAUAUCAGGAGGAACACCAGUGGCGAAGGCGGUUCUCUGGGCCUUUCCUGACGCUGAGGAGCGAAAGCGUGGGGAGCGAACAGGCUUAGAUACCCUGGUAGUCCACGCUGUAAACGGUGGGUACUAGGUGUGGGGUCCAUUCCACGGGUUCCGUGCCGUAGCUAACGCUUUAAGUACCCCGCCUGGGGAGUACGGCCGCAAGGCUAAAACUCAAAGGAAUUGACGGGGCCCCGCACAAGCGGCGGAGCAUGCGGAUUAAUUCGAUGCAACGCGUAGAACCUUACCUGGGUUUGACAUGGAUCGGGAGUGCUCAGAGAUGGGUGUGCCUCUUUUGGGGUCGGUUCACAGGUGGUGCAUGCCUGUCGUCAGCUCGUGUCGCGAGAUGUUGGGUUAAGUCCCGCAACGAGCGCAACCCUUGUUCACUGUUGCCAGCACGUUAUGGUGGGGACUCAGUGGAGACCGCCGGGGUCAACUCGGAGGAAGGUGGGGAUGACGUCAAGUCCUCAUGCCCCUUAUGUCCAGGGCUUCACGCAUGCUACAAUGGCUGGUACAGAGAGUGGCGAGCCUGUGAGGGUGAGCGAAUCUCGGAAAGCCGGUCUCAGUUCGGAUUGGGGUCUGCAACUCGACCUCAUGAAGUCGGAGUCGCUAGUAAUCGCAGAUCAGCAACGCUGCGGUGAAUACGUUCCCGGGGCUUGUACACACCGCCCGUCAAGUCAUGAAAGUUGGUAACACCCGAAGCCGGUGGCCUAACCGUUGUGGGGGAGCCGUCGAAGGUGGGACUGGUGAUUAGGA